UGAAGAGAUUAGGGGUGUCCUUUGUGAGACAAAUGAUAGUUGUCUCUCCAAAGGGCUGAGAAAUACCCAUUGAACCUGUUCGGGUAAUGCCGUCGUAGGGAUGAUGUAUGCUUCUGGAU
Molecule: non-coding RNA, 119 nt
Filed under: Legionella clemsonensis
Lineage: Bacteria; Pseudomonadati; Pseudomonadota; Gammaproteobacteria; Legionellales; Legionellaceae
Description: TPP sequence
Rfam family: TPP riboswitch aptamer (THI element)
About the family: Vitamin B(1) in its active form thiamin pyrophosphate (TPP) is an essential coenzyme that is synthesised by coupling of pyrimidine and thiazole moieties in bacteria. The previously detected thiamin-regulatory element, thi box was extended, resulting in a new, highly conserved RNA secondary structure, the THI element, which is widely distributed in eubacteria and also occurs in some archaea.
Source: Rfam by way of RNAcentral